GGAAGAUGAGGUUAUGGACAACCAAGGUAUGGGAGGAAGGACGAUGAUGAGGAUGAGGACAAGCCUAAGAGGUAUGGGAGGAAGGACGAUGAUGAGGAUGAGGACAAGCCUAAGAGGUAUGGGUAUGGCGAAGAGGAGGAGGGCUAUGGCCGCAAGAAAUAUGGAGAUGACGACUCUGGUGAUGAUGAGGAUGAGGAAAAGAAGCAUUACCGCUCCAAGCAUCACCACCACCACAAGCACCAUGACGAUGACGAGUGAUCUAAUCCUUGGUCGCCUCUUGAUGGGAACCCAUGCUAUAUUAAGCUACUAAAUAAAGGGUUUCCAGGAUGCUGUGCGUGUCGUUUGUUGCUUCUGUCAUCUGCUUGAGUUCGUGACAUACAUCUGUGUUGUGUCUUGCGCUUGUCCUUCGAAUAAAUGCCCAAACAUUUCGGGUACUUGAGGUUUUAUGAUAUGAUAUGGUAUGAUAUGAUAUGAUCGUGACUUCAUGUCCCUCAGACAUAACGCAGGCUUGUUCUGAUGUUUUA
Eucalyptus grandis is the source of this 524-nucleotide long non-coding RNA. RefSeq lists it as uncharacterized. Lineage: Eukaryota; Viridiplantae; Streptophyta; Magnoliopsida; Myrtales; Myrtaceae. The transcript has 2 exons. The record is from RefSeq and is a predicted model, not a curated record.